GAUGAACGCUGGCGGCGUGCUUAACACAUGCAAGUCGAACGGAAAGGCCCAAGCUUGCUUGGGUACUCGAGUGGCGAACGGGUGAGUAACACGUGGGUGAUCUGCCCUGCACUUCGGGAUAAGCCUGGGAAACUGGGUCUAAUACCGGAUAGGACCACAUUUUGGAUGGUGUGGUGGAAAGUUUUUCGGUGUGGGAUGAGCUCGCGGCCUAUCAGCUUGUUGGUGGGGUAAUGGCCUACCAAGGCGUCGACGGGUAGCCGGCCUGAGAGGGUGUACGGCCACAUUGGGACUGAGAUACGGCCCAGACUCCUACGGGAGGCAGCAGUGGGGAAUAUUGCACAAUGGGCGGAAGCCUGAUGCAGCGACGCCGCGUGGGGGAUGACGGCCUUCGGGUUGUAAACUCCUUUCGCUAGGGACGAAGCGCAAGUGACGGUACCUGGAGAAGAAGCACCGGCUAACUACGUG
This 465-nucleotide ribosomal RNA is filed under the name uncultured bacterium. Its description in RNAcentral is "partial 16S ribosomal RNA". It matches the Rfam family "Bacterial small subunit ribosomal RNA", at positions 28 to 507 of the family's 1533-position model. The record is from RNAcentral.